Molecule: ribosomal RNA, 508 nt
Filed under: uncultured bacterium
Lineage: Bacteria
Description: bacterial SSU rRNA
Rfam family: Bacterial small subunit ribosomal RNA
Source: RNAcentral
GAUGAACGCUAGCGACAGGCCUAACACAUGCAAGUCGAGGGGCAGCACGAUGUAGCAAUACGUUGGUGGCGACCGGCGCACGGGUGAGUAACACGUAUGUAACCUACCCUGUACAGGGGGAUAACCCGGAGAAAUUCGGACUAAUACUCCAUGGAGAUAUACUGGGGCAUCCUGGUAUAUUUAAAGCUUCGGUGGUACGGGAUGGGCAUGCGGAACAUUAGCUAGUUGGCAGGGUAACGGCCUACCAAGGCUACGAUGUUUAGGGGUCCUGAGAGGGUGGUCCCCCACACUGGUACUGAGACACGGACCAGACUCCUACGGGAGGCAGCAGUGAGGAAUAUUGGUCAAUGGGCGCAAGCCUGAACCAGCCAUCCCGCGUGCAGGAAGACGGCCCUAUGGGUUGUAAACUGCUUUUCCAGGGAGAGAAACUUACGCACGUGUUGCGUGACUGACGGUACCCUGGGAAUAAGCAUCGGCUAACUCCGUGCCAGCAGGCCGGGUAAGCACG